CGGCGUUAUGUAUGUAAAUGAACCGGGUAACGUUCGUGACGCCCGUUUGUGGAAUCACGCGAGUGAGGUUGUUGCAGCAACCAACAACGCUCACAUCCUGGGCGGGCGGUGCUGCUGCUGCUGUUCCUGUUACUACACGCCCCCAUAUUCUGCCCAAGUGCUCUGAUGGCCCAUCAUUCAAGUGAACAGCUGCAGGGGAGGAAGGCUGUAAAGGUCCUGUCCUGGAAAAGUCCCUGCUGGACAUCUGGAGGAGAGGGGUCUCCUGAUGAAAAAAAUAUGAAGUUAGGGAGAUCUAGACCUCUUUUCACAGUCCUGAAGAGGAAACCCUGCUGGCCAGCCAGAAGCAAUUCAUGUCAUAUUGACCUCUUUUGUGCAUGAUUAAAAAUACAUGUUUAAUGGCCAAAAGGAUAACUCUUCUGACAGAUGAAAUAUCUCUGAGAUCAAAAUGACCCUUUGUAACCUUUUAUAGUCCAACUUUCUGCAGAGUGUGAGACUUUUUAGAUGAUGCAUGGACACAAUAUAGAUCAAGUAUGUUUAGUGAGAUAUGCCAACCAAUGUAGCAGGCACCAUCAUACCCACAAAUAAUAUUUUUCUAUUUAUGCUUGGGUCGAACUUUAAUACCUUUUCAGUACCGAGCAAAAUAUGUCCAUAGCACAUAGUAACUUUAGUCUUAUUUAGUAAUUCUUUGAUAACAUCCUGAUUUUGUAUUGUAAUAUUUGCUGAUUAUUGACUGUUUUUAGGCAAAGUUUUUCUUGUGUUGAGACGACAUUAAGCAUUUUGUUACGCGGAAAUUGUCCUCAAAGUAAGAAAUAUGUUGGUGCCGAAACUUUUGAAUCGAAUUGGGUCCAUUAUUGAAACAUUUAAAAUCAUACCAAGUCCGAUUUCUACGUUGAGUUUCACUGAGCUUACAUCAUCACCCACCAAAUGAAUCACUCAGGAGAAUGGCUUUCAAAAAAUCUUGCAGUACCAGAUUUCAUAGAAGAUGACAAGCUCAGAUACAAGAGUACAAUACAAUACAAUAUUGCCUAAUAUGUCCUUGAGGACAUACAUCACCACUGCACACAACGUCACAAUCUGAAGCUCAGUUAGCAGUGACAUAGCACUGGGUUUGUUUUGUACAAAAAAUGAUUCCAAGGGAGAAUUAUCAGCACAUCAGUGUAGCACUGUAAACUACACAAUCCCUCUGUACUCAGGCAGGCGCAUUCCUUUUAAAUUACUGUUUGUUUAUUGGCGUUUACAACCACACUUCACUGAAAGGCUUGAGACAAAAGAGUGCACUCUCUUAAAAUAAUAAAUCUGCCAGUUAUUGAAGCAGGCAAGACCUACCUUGACUUUUAAAGCAGCCACAUAUGUAAUAGUCAGCGCCGCCGCUCCCACCACGCGCAUCACGCACUGUGCGUAGGGCACCAAGUGCUGAGGGGGCACCAAAAAUAGCCUAAUGAAUUUUUUUUUUUAAAUGCCGGUAUUAUUUAAUUAGCCUAUAGAAAUAUUAGGCACAUUUUAGCCAUGUAUAUGUAACAAAAAAGGUGGAACAAGAAAGAUAUUUAACAAUUGCUCUAGUCUAGUCCCCCCCCCGCCCGUGCUGGAUGGUCCGUUCCGGUUGUUCGCGCGGGCGCCUGCCUGACGCAGUUUGACAGAUUUGAGCAUGGCUCCGAAAAGACAGCAGGAGUCGGGUGCUGAGAAACGAAAGAAGAAGAAACUGCGAGAUGAUGCCCGUGCAUCACUUUCAGGUAAGUCCAUGUUUAAUCAUUCAUAAAUACGGGAAAUGUGCUGCAUGUGCGUGCUGCUGCUAAUCGUAAUGCGCCUCGAACUUGCUGACGGUAAUGUUAGCAUUAGCAAACUAUGUUAUUAUAACUUACAACUUCGGUGCAAGCUAAAUUGAGAUUUUACGGUUAAACAUUACCUAUUUUAAAAAUAACUGACCUGACACCAACUAGCUGUUACUUUUUUUUUUUUUACUAUCUUUCUUUAGAUAUUGAGCAGUAGUUUAUGGUUUAUUUUGACGUGACGGUGGUUAAUACUUUCUCAGUAACGUUAACAGUUAGCAGUCAGUGCAGUGCACAUGGUAGGCUAACAAUUCCUGUUAUGUAUAUAUAUAUAUAAAAUAUAAAAUGUCAUUAUGAAUUAUAUAAAGCAAACAUUACUGUUGAUUUGUGUGCAUUAUCGCACCUCAUUCUAUUAUGCUUUAUAUUAGAGUAGAUUUAGAUUUACAUUUAUUUAUUCAUUUAGCAGAUGCUUUUAUCUAAAGCGACUUACAAAUGAGAACAAUAGAAGCAGUUAAACUAACAGUAGGACAACAAUAUGCAAGUGCUAUGCCUAUGACCCUUCUCAGUUUAAUCUAACGCAGAAUUUUUUUUAUUGUUUUUAUUUUUAAUAAUAGAUAAAUAAGGAAUAAAGGGGGAGAACUGCUUGGCUGCCAUGCUUUCAGUUAUAAAUGUUUAUUAUAUUUUUCUGGUAUAAGAGUCUUUGUUUGAAUAUUUUGUCUCUUUCUAUACUGAUCCUUUUUCUUCGUAUUUCUAAAUUAUUGCAGGGGCAAUGCUGAGAUACGUCAUUUAGGAGGAGCAGACUGAAGACAAGAAGACUGACUAUUCUUGUUUGUACUUAUUGAUGAUUAUUUAAUUUAAUUUAUUCAAAGUGACAUUGAAUUUGCAAAAAAAAAGUCUGGAUUAUUUUGAUAUUUUUUUAUUUUGCUAUUCUGUUUACUGUUUACAAAGUCAGCAAAGCUGUGAAGAUUUUACUUUCUCUUUUUAGUGUUCUUAAGUUUUAUACUGUGAUGCUGCUAUUGUGUGUUAUUGGUAUUGAGUUAUGUUUGGUAAUAAAAAGUUAAACUGGCAAAAA
Siniperca chuatsi (mandarin fish) is the source of this 2838-nucleotide long non-coding RNA. RefSeq lists it as uncharacterized. The transcript is spliced from 2 exons. Lineage: Eukaryota; Metazoa; Chordata; Actinopteri; Centrarchiformes; Sinipercidae. The record is from RefSeq and is a predicted model, not a curated record.